This 393-nucleotide ribosomal RNA is filed under the name uncultured bacterium. RNAcentral's name for it is "bacterial SSU rRNA". It matches the Rfam family "Bacterial small subunit ribosomal RNA", at positions 29 to 409 of the family's 1533-position model. The record is from RNAcentral.
AACGAACGCUGGCGGCGCGCCUAAUACAUGCAAGUCGAGCGAGAAGACGUAGCAAUACGUUUGUAAAGCGGCGAACGGGUGAGGAAUACAUGGGUAACCUACCCUCGAGUGGGGAAUAACUAGCCGAAAGGUUAGCUAAUACCGCGUACGCUCCUUGGACUUCGGUUCAGGGAGGAAAGCGAUACCGUGGGUAUCGCGCUCUUGGAUGGGCUCAUGUCCUAUCAGCUUGUUGGUGAGGUAACGGCUCACCAAGGCUUCGACGGGCAGCUGUUCUGAGAGGACGAUCAGCCACACUGGCACUGCGACACGGGCCAGACUCCUACGGGAGGCAGCAGUAAGGAAUAUUGCGCAAGUGGGACGAAAGCCUGACGCAGCGACGCCGCGGUGGGGGAU